UAAUUGCCUUUAUAUUUAACAAUUAAAAACAACUACAUUUGUAAAUAUCUUAAUGAAUUCAACACUCAUGACGUAACUUUUGGUUCAAGAAUGUAGUCAGACAUAUAGGAUUUUACGUUGCUACGCAUACAUGUUUCAUAGGUCAUUAUUCCAAGAUUGCUUAGAAUGGAGAAAAAAAAAUCAAAUCUCUGAACAAUGAGAAAUCAAAUCGAAUUCGAGACGGACAUAUUAUAAAUAAUAGGGGUUAUUAAAAUGCUUGUGUCUGUCAACAAUGGAGAAUAAACUCGGUGUUCGUUUCGUCUGCCAUUUUGAGAACUAUUAUAAAAGCCAACAAGAAGAAUAAUAAACCGAAAGAGAAUUGUGGAUGUUUAAAAGCCGGUCGUGUCACUUAUCAGAAUGCUGUUACUUAAAAAAAAAAUUUGAUCAUUAUUCCUUCUGUUUAUAAUAACAUCAAUUUACAUUUUUUAUUAUGUAAUUAAUUGUGUGUUUUUUUCCAAUUUCCAUAAGCUUCAUCUUAAAUUUUACAGUAUGACAUGUAAAAGCAGAUCAUAUCAAAAUACAAUAUGCGGAUUGCAUCUUGCGAUAUAUACUGAUAUAUUGUAGUAGCUCUAAAAAUGAUCAUCAUUGUAAAUGGGUAAAGACAAACAUGGUUUCAUUUAUAUGUAAGUUUAUCUGAUUAUAACCAGAUUCUUAUUCAUAUUCUGCUGUAUAAUGUAUGUCACUCUGUACUGUAGUAGCAUGUUAGUGAAAUUGAUGAUUUUAAAAUAUAUAAAUAUUAAAAUAAAAUUAGUACAUUGAACAAUAAAACUUAAGUGUGAA
Long non-coding RNA from Dreissena polymorpha, 819 nucleotides. RefSeq lists it as uncharacterized. The record is from RefSeq and is a predicted model, not a curated record. NCBI's taxonomy places the organism in Eukaryota, Metazoa, Mollusca, Bivalvia, Myida, Dreissenidae. The transcript is spliced from 2 exons.